AACAAAACACUCAACAACAAACCACCAAAUGGAUCCUCGAGAUUCGUUCAAAGUUUUGAGCACACAAAUCAAGUAUGAUAUCAUAGUAAAUUUGACAUUCAAGACUCAACGAAAUUAUAAAAACACAUAUUUGUGGUCUCCUUGAUCUAAAAUCUGUAAAAGCCGCAAUAAACAAAGUUUCACCUUGAAAUACCAAACUAC
RNAcentral lists this long non-coding RNA (201 nucleotides) under Solanum tuberosum (potato). RNAcentral's name for it is "long non-coding RNA (STUB_LNC001636)". Lineage: Eukaryota; Viridiplantae; Streptophyta; Magnoliopsida; Solanales; Solanaceae. The record is from RNAcentral.